Molecule: long non-coding RNA, 1227 nt
Filed under: Volvox carteri
Lineage: Eukaryota; Viridiplantae; Chlorophyta; Chlorophyceae; Chlamydomonadales; Volvocaceae
Description: long non-coding RNA (VCAR_LNC001905)
Source: RNAcentral
AGUUCCCAUAACGAGGGUUAGGCACAAAAUUUGGGAGGCGUUAUGCCGGUUAGGCUGUCGAAAAAGGUGACCGUGCCCAAACCUAAGAGCCAAAGAGGUACUUACUAAACGAUUAAGGAUUACAAUACUAGUAUUCAAAACGCAUGACGUUCCCUUUGCUUUUCGGUUGUUUUUUUUGUGAAAUAUCCCAUUAAUACCCUCUGCAGGUGUGCGACAUCCUGUUCCUGAGCCUUUCCCUGGGGCACCAACUCUCCAGUAUCCACCGCAGCAGACGUCUGCGUCCGCACGUUGUUACAAUUUCGACACCAGGGCCCAGCGCAGUUCGAUGGCAACCCACGCCUCCUACUGCAUAUGCUAAGAGAAUGGAGCUAUCCCACGUACCCUCACGAGUACGGCGGCAGCUUAACCUACGGACGGGGAGAGUAUGGCGCCCGAGCACUGCUUUUAGCACGCCAUAUAUGCCGGUGAAACCCGCUGGCGCCCCGUGUUCCUACGUGCAUACCAAUCUGGACUGAUCCGGAAAUGUUCGAACCACAUUUGCACACAGGAUUAUUCAACUACCGCAUGCGCGAUACCUGCUACUGCUGCUGUCUCUUGUGACCCACUUGUCGCCUCUUGUCACUAUGAGCCCAAGUGCAACAAUCCUGCACCAACCAACCAACCAACCAGCCAGCCAUUCAGCAAUUAUACCGGAUGAGGAACGGGCUCCGAUAGCCGAAUAUCACGGUAGUUCUUAAAUUGCUUUGCUAGAUCUUUGCUGGCAAGCCAAAUGGUGCAUGGAGUGAACUCGCGGGAAAAUAAUCUGACAAGUUGUUCCACAAGCUCCCGCUAGAGGCAUUCCAGUUGUCCUGUUGCUCAAGGCUGAGCCCGGCCUCGGUACAUAUUUUAUCAUCGUACAUUACGUACAGCCUUGACUCGUGUAAUCCUUAGAGUUCUAAGCUUGUAGCACAAAACGCUGAGAAGUGUGAUGUGAGCACCCAGGACAGCGCUGUGGGAUAAGUGGUGUUGCGGAUCUUGGUACGUGAGGACGCGCCUCCAGUACCGGGGGAAAACCUUGUGCAGAGAGCCGAACAUCACAAUAGCCUUGAGCUGCUCAACCCAACCUCCGCUGACAUGCCAAACAAUUCAUGCGACGGAAUUCACUGGCUGGCAGAUCGUUCCGCAAACGCCGGUGGCAGCGACGCAGGGCUUGGCACGAACAUGAUACAGUGUCGUCCACAUAGCUAG